RNAcentral lists this ribosomal RNA (552 nucleotides) under Pichia kluyveri. RNAcentral describes it as "partial large subunit ribosomal RNA". It matches the Rfam family "Eukaryotic large subunit ribosomal RNA", at positions 87 to 658 of the family's 3401-position model. The record is from RNAcentral. Lineage: Eukaryota; Fungi; Ascomycota; Pichiomycetes; Pichiales; Pichiaceae.
CGGCGAGUGAGCGGCAAGAGCUCAGAUUUGAAAUCUCACCUAGUGUGCGAGUUGUAAAUUGCAGGUUGGAGUCUCGGGUUAGACGUGUGUGCAAGUCCCUUGGAACAGGGUGCCACUGAGGGUGAGAGCCCCGUAUCGUGCAUGUCGACACCUGUGAGGCCCUUCUGACGAGUCGAGUUGUUUGGGAAUGCAGCUCUAAGUGGGUGGUAAAUUCCAUCUAAGGCUAAAUAUUGGCGAGAGACCGAUAGCGAACAAGUACUGUGAAGGAAAGAUGAAAAGCACUUUGAAAAGAGAGUGAAACAGCACGUGAAAUUGUUGAAAGGGAAGGGUAUUGGGCUCGACAUGGGAUUUACGCAUCGUUGCCUCUCGUGGGCGGCGCUCUGGGUUUUUCCUGGGCCAGCAUCGGUUUUCGUUGCAGGAUAAGGACAAUUGGAAUGUGGCUCCUCGGAGUGUUAUAGCCUUUUGUAGAUGCUGCGUAUGGGGACCGAGGGCUGCGGCGGACUCGUUUCGUCUCGGAUGCUGGCACAACGGCGCAAUACCGCCCGUCUUGAA